CCGGGAUUUCCGUGGAUAAUUAUAUUUCUCUUCUGUCGUGGAUGGCGUGGAUUGAACGCCAGUCCAAAAAGUUUGGGAUUGCGUGGAUUGCACGCUCGCCCAAAAACGUUGGGAUGGCUCUAGGCCAGGUGAAAUUUAAAUUCACUGAUAUUUAUAUUCACUGCACGGCGUUCGUUUUUUUUUUACUUUUUCACACACACGUGGUUGGUCGAAAA
RNAcentral lists this long non-coding RNA (215 nucleotides) under Drosophila guanche. The record is from RNAcentral. Lineage: Eukaryota; Metazoa; Arthropoda; Insecta; Diptera; Drosophilidae.